RNAcentral lists this small RNA (3092 nucleotides) under Pongo abelii (Sumatran orangutan). Its description in RNAcentral is "processed transcript". Lineage: Eukaryota; Metazoa; Chordata; Mammalia; Primates; Hominidae. The record is from RNAcentral.
GCAUCUUGCUGUGCGCACCGCCCGCGCGCCCCGCGCCGUCAGCACCCCCAGCACCGCCAGCGCCCCCGGAGUCCACUGUGCGCCCUGCGCCCCCAACGCGCCCCGGGGAAAGUUCCUACUCGUCAAUUUCACACGUAAUUUACAAUAACCACCCGGAUUCCUCCGCGUCGCCUAGGAAACGACAGGGCGAAGCGACUGCCGCCUCCUCUGAGAUCAAAGCCCUGCAGCAGACCCGGAGGCUCCUGGCGAACGCCAGGGAGCGGACGCGGGUGCACACCAUCAGCGCAGCCUUCGAGGCGCUCAGGAAGCAGGUGCCGUGCUACUCGUAUGGGCAGAAGCUGUCCAAACUGGCCAUCCUGAGGAUCGCCUGUAACUACAUCCUGUCCCUGGCGCGGCUGGCUGACCUCGACUACAGUGCCGACCACAGCAACCUCAGCUUCUCUGAGUGUGUGCAGCGCUGCACCCGCACCCUGCAGGCUGAGGGACGUGCCAAGAAGCGCAAGAGCCUCAUCGUCACUCAGGAUACAACAGCGCGAGCAGCUGGUUUGGAGGCAGCAGGGAAAACCGUGCAAAAGGUUCUUUGUGAGAGAGGAAACUCGCUUAUGAAUAACAGGACUGGACGCCAUAAAAGUUGGCGGCUGGAAUUCUUGUUUCUCAGGCGCCGCUGUUUUCUCUUGACUUUUUAUCUCUGGUUUUUAUUUUUUUCUCGUUUUCUUUUAAUGUUGUUUCUUCCUCUUCUCACAUCAGUUGUGACUUUUCUUCCUCCUCUGCGAGCCCGAAGGCCACCUCGUUAGUGCUCCUGACACUGCGGAACUUUUCUUUCUCAAGGCUGUUGUCACUGGGGAUGGUUGGAAGUGACUAUUUUCCUAAGAAAACAGCUGGAGGGGACAUGGGAGCAAGAAGGUGCUUGGGAGGGCAUGUCAGUGUUGAGGCUUAAAACAGGGAGUGCCAUGGCAGAGUCAUUCCGCCGUCACCCUGAAUAAACCCCAUGCGCACAGAUGAGAACAAUGUCUCCUCAGAGGGAGGGUCUGGGAGACCGGACACCAUGCAGAGACCCCCAUCAGCUCAUCAGAGAGCUUCACGGAGAUGUUCUGGGAGGACAGUCACAUUCAUAAAUACCCUGGUGCCUCGGCCCUGCCGCUGACUGCAGCAUGACAUGAAGCCUUUUUUAAGAACUGGCUGCUGCCGCCAAAACCUUCUGGGAGAUGUCUACCUGGAACCUGGGCACCUCCUGGGAGCAAUCACUGGGUGGCCUGUCAGGGGCUGUGGGGUCCUGGGCAGGGCCGGCAACUGGAAGCCAGCCCUGGGGAGGAAAGGAGAGAAGGGCAAGGCUAGGCUGCUUUCCUCACAGCCCCUGGACCCUGAGGGAGGAGCUGAGUCGGGCCUGGGGCUGCCAUGUGUCAGACAGUGGUGAUGUGAUGGGGGGACACAGGUCAGGGGCAGGGUACUGGGAGUUUCCCCUUUCCUUUCUCAGUUCUUUGCACCCAUUUUCCACGAGCUGCCUUCUCAGAUCCAGAAGCCCCAGCAGCCCCUCACCCCAGCAGUGGAAAAAGCCCAUCAUUGACACGGCUGUGGGUGGCCAGCUUUGAAAAAGCCUCACAUUUGGGGCUUUGGAGGGCGUUUUGCAUUUCAUCUUUACACAGGCUCCUGAACCUCAUUCCUCUUGCCCUCCUCUCGGCUUUCCUCCCACUUCCAGUUAGAGAGAUGGCAGCUCUGGCAGGACCGAAUAUUGAUGUUUAUCACAGUUUUAGGGCCAUUCAUCUCACCAACUGAAGGGCUCGGCGCAGACCCACGGGAUCCUCUCUCCUUGAGUGACCUCUGGGGGCAGGUAUCUGGUUUGGAUGCUGGAGCUGGUCCCUACUCUGCCCUUGGGGGCUGUGCGGCCGGGUGCUCAAGUGUUUUAACCUCAGGACCCUGAUUAGUUAUGAAGCUACCCCACCAGCUCCUGGGUCUGUUCACAGAUCAGUGGCAUAAAGGACAUAAUAUUGUUUUGCAAAAUUUGCUCUCCCUCCCGUGUCUCCUGCCCAAGAAGUUGGUCUUCAUGGGGCCAAAGGCAAGGAGGACCUGAGGAAGGAAGAGGAAUCACUGUCCCCAGCACCUGGUAUGGCAUGAAGUCAGCCUAGUGACCAGAAAUUGCUUUUGAACUCUGAGGCUUCCAGAGGACAAGAGGAAGAGGAGGACAGGGCUGCCCUGCCCACUGCUCAGCCUUGAGCCCUGCACCUGGCACAGUGCGCGGCCUCAGAGGCUGUAAGCAGGCCCUGGCUCCCCACACCCCGUCCUUAAACAGGCCGUGCCCUUUCUACCUGCCCCAGCAGACCAGAAAGCAGCUUUCAUGGGAAACAACAAACCUUCCUUGUGCUCUCAGGAUAAGUGUUUCUAGAGGGCAAAGUCGGGAGCCAUUCUCUCCUUUAACACCUUGCCACCUCUGCCCACAAUUCACAGCUACCGGGGCCUGUCUUAGCUGCCCUGGCUGUCAGCCCCACCAGAGCCCCUCCUGGCUGCUCUGCUGAAAGCUGGUCAGACUGCCUCACUCCAUCCCCUACUUAGCUCCCUAAGGCCUAGGGGGCUCCCUACAGGCCAAGGGAUGAGGCCAGACUCAAUAGGACACCUGAUGGGCCCCCCAAGUGACCUGGCCCUGGCCGGUCACUCCCUAUGUCCCAAUUUACACCCCAGCAGCACAGAACUCCUCGCCCAAAGGGGCUAUUUUUGGCCUCUGUGCUCAUGCCAUCCCUUCUGCCUGGAAUGCCUUUCUCCGCUGUCUGUCUGGCUAACUCCUGCUCAUUCUGGAAGGCUCAGCUCCUCCUGAAAGCCCUCCCUGACCCCAACCCCAGCUUCUUCCUCAGGGCGUCAUAGCACAGGGAUGCUUUUGGUCUAAUUCAGGAGAGCAUCAUGUGGUAUGCUUUUAAAGUAAUGACUUAAAAUGUUAGACAAUAUGAAACUCUAUUAUGUGAUAUAUUAGAUUUCGUGUCAUUACAUUGCAUUGUAUUAUAUUUUUAGGUGGUAUGCUAUGUGACACAGGAUGCGAUGUGAUAUUACAUCCCAUGACACUAUGUUACACAGUGUUGGAUUAAAUGCCUGUGUCUCUGGCUAGA